Molecule: ribosomal RNA, 970 nt
Filed under: uncultured bacterium
Lineage: Bacteria
Description: bacterial SSU rRNA
Rfam family: Bacterial small subunit ribosomal RNA
Source: RNAcentral
AGAGUUUGAUCAUGGCUCAGAACGAACGCUGGCGGCGUGCUUAACACAUGCAAGUCGAGUGCGCGGUUGUAGCAAUACAACUGGCGCACGGCGCACGGGUGCGUAACACGUGGGCAAUCUGCCCUCCGAUGGGGAAUAACCCCGCGAAAGCGGGGCUAAUACCGCAUAACAUUCCGGGGACUUCGGUUCCUGGAUUCAAAGGCGUAAGUCGUCGGAGGUGGAGCCCGCGCCCGAUUAGCUAGUUGGUGAGGUAACGGCUCACCAAGGCAAUGAUCGGUAGCUGGUCUGAGAGGAUGGCCAGCCACACUGGAACUGAGACACGGUCCAGACUCCUACGGGAGGCAGCAGUGGGGAAUCUUGCGCAAUGGGCGAAAGCCUGACGCAGCGACGCCGCGUGGGGGAUGAAGCAUCUCGGUGUGUAAACCCCUUUCGACUGGGACGAAUGCCUCGCAAGAGGAGUGACGGUACCAGUAGAAGAAGCCCCGGCUAACUACGUGCCAGCAGCCGCGGUAAGACGUAGGGGGCCAGCGUUGUUCGGAAUUACUGGGUGUAAAGGGUUCGUAGGCGGUGUAGCAAGUCGGGAGUGAAAUCUCUGGGCUUAACCCAGAGGCUGCUUCCGAAACUGCUGUGCUGGAGUGUGGGAGAGGCGCGUGGAAUUGCAGGUGUAGCGGUGAAAUGCGUAGAUAUCUGCAGGAACACCCGUGGCGAAGGCGGCGCGCUGGACCACUACUGACGCUGAGGAACGAAAGCUAGGGGAGCAAACAGGAUUAGAUACCCUGGUAGUCCUAGCCCUAAACGAUCAGGACUUGGGGUGCCACCCGUUCGGGUGUCGUCCCGGAGCUAACGCGUUAAGUCCUGCACCUGGGGAGUACGGUCGCAAGACUGAAACUCAAAGGAAUUGACGGGGGCCCGCACAAGCGGUGGAACAUGUGGUUCAAUUCGACGCUACGCGAGGAACCUUACCUGGGCU